RNAcentral lists this non-coding RNA (31 nucleotides) under Mus musculus (house mouse). Lineage: Eukaryota; Metazoa; Chordata; Mammalia; Rodentia; Muridae. The record is from RNAcentral.
UNCACACAUGUUUAAGUAAGCCAGGUUCAGC